Molecule: unclassified non-coding RNA, 21 nt
Filed under: Dictyostelium discoideum
Lineage: Eukaryota; Evosea; Eumycetozoa; Dictyosteliales; Dictyosteliaceae
Source: RNAcentral
UUUCUUCUUUUCUUUGGGAAC